GAUGAACGCUGGCGGCGUGCCUAAUACAUGCAAGUCGAGCGAACGGACGAGAAGCUUGCUUCUCUGAUGUUAGCGGCGGACGGGUGAGUAACACGUGGAUAACCUACCUAUAAGACUGGGAUAACUUCGGGAAACCGGAGCUAAUACCGGAUAAUAUUUUGAACCGCAUGGUUCAAAAGUGAAAGACGGUCUUGCUGUCACUUAUAGAUGGAUCCGCGCUGCAUUAGCUAGUUGGUAAGGUAACGGCUUACCAAGGCAACGAUGCAUAGCCGACCUGAGAGGGUGAUCGGCCACCCUGGAACUGAGACACGGUCCAGACUCCUACGGGAGGCAGCAGUAGGGAAUCUUCCGCAAUGGGCGAAAGCCUGACGGAGCAACGCCGCGUGAGUGAUGAAGGUCUUCGGACCGUAAAACUCUGUUAUUAGGGAAGAACAUAUGUGUAAGUAACUGUGCACAUCUUGACGGUACCUAAUCAGAAAGCCACGGCUAACUACGUG
RNAcentral lists this ribosomal RNA (497 nucleotides) under uncultured bacterium. RNAcentral's name for it is "partial 16S ribosomal RNA". It matches the Rfam family "Bacterial small subunit ribosomal RNA", at positions 28 to 507 of the family's 1533-position model. The record is from RNAcentral.